This is a non-coding RNA of Triticum aestivum (bread wheat), 125 nucleotides long. NCBI's taxonomy places the organism in Eukaryota, Viridiplantae, Streptophyta, Magnoliopsida, Poales, Poaceae. The record is from Rfam.
UAAAUACUCCAUCCGUUCCGAAUUACUUAUCACGCAAAUGGAUAAAAAUGAAUGUAUUUACAACUAAAAUACAUCUAGAUACAUUCAUUUUUACGAUAAGUAAUUCUGGACGGAGGGAGUAUAUU